This 441-nucleotide ribosomal RNA is filed under the name uncultured bacterium. RNAcentral describes it as "partial 16S ribosomal RNA". The record is from RNAcentral.
GACUACAGGGGUAUCUAAUCCCGUUUGCUCCCCACGCUUUCGUGCCUCAGCGUCAGGUAUGGCCCAGUCGCCUGUCUUCACCUUUGGCGUUCCGAUAGAUAUCUACGCAUUUCACCGCUCCACCUAUCGUUCCAGCGACCUCUACCAACCUCAAGACACGUGGUUCGCCAAGCAAUUCCUCGGUUGAGCCGAGGGAUUUCACAAAGCGCCUACGCAUCCGCCUACGCACCCUUUAAGCCCAGUGAUUCCGAUUAACGCUCGCACCCUCUGUAUUACCGCGGCUGCUGGCACAGAGUUAGCCGGUGCUUCCUUUGGGUAUGGUCAUUUCUUUCCUGCACCCUGACAGCAGUUUACACCCCGAAGGGCUUCAUCCUGCACGCGGCAUUGCCCCGUCACGCUUUCGCGCAUUGCGGAAGAUUCCUUACUGCAGCCCCCCGUAGG